AGUGAACGCUGGCGGUAGGCCUAACACAUGCAAGUCGAACGGCAGCACAGUAAGAGCUUGCUCUUACGGGUGGCGAGUGGCGGACGGGUGAGGAAUACAUAGGAAUCUACUUUUUCGUGGGGGAUAACGUAGGGAAACUUACGCUAAUAGCGCAUACGACCUACGGGUGAAAGCAGGGGAUCUUCGGAACUUGCGCGAUUGAAUGAGCCGAUGUCGGAUUAGCUAGUUGGCGGGGUAAAGGCCCACCAAGGCGACGAUCCGUAGCUGGUCUGAGAGGAUGAUCAGCCACACUGGAACUGAGACACGGUCCAGACUCCUACGGGAGGCAGCAGUGGGGAAUAUUGGACAAUGGGCGCAAGCCUGAUCCAGCCAUACCGCGUGGGUGAAGAAGGCCUUCGGGUUGUAAAGCCCUUUUGUUGGGAAAGAAAAGCAGCAGGUUAAUACCCCGCUGUUCUGACGGUACCCAAAGAAUAAGCACCGGCUAACUUCGU
This 491-nucleotide ribosomal RNA is filed under the name uncultured bacterium. RNAcentral's name for it is "partial 16S ribosomal RNA". It matches the Rfam family "Bacterial small subunit ribosomal RNA", at positions 29 to 506 of the family's 1533-position model. The record is from RNAcentral.